GAAAUGAGUGGUCAUUAUUAUUACCAGGAGAGUUGGAACUGGAAUUGGAGUGGGUCGGGUUGGGGUCAGGAUCAGAGUCGGAGUUGGAAGCGGAACAGGAACAAGAAGAAGAAGCAAUGCGAUCAAGGGACUCGUAGAAAUGCUCGUCUUCUUCUUCUUCUUCUUCUUCUUCAUUUUUUUUUUCCUGUGUGUGGCUUCCUCUUCUUCUUCUGCUUCUUCGUCCUUAUGGCAGUUGUGGGUGUUCCUGCUCAUCUCUGGGCGGUCAUUGUGAAACCUCUAGGGGCAUUUGGUAUCCAUUGGAAUAAAGGAAAAAAAUGGAAAUGGAAAGGAAGAGAAGAGAGAAGGCAAUGGAAAUGGUUAAAUUUGGUAGGAAGUAUUGUAGUUAUUUUGGUAAAUGGGAGUAUGGGUAUGUUGUUGGUUAUGGAGAGUGCGUUGAAGUUGCGAUCUGUGGGGGAUUGGGGAGAUCGG
Molecule: unclassified non-coding RNA, 468 nt
Filed under: Hevea brasiliensis (rubber tree)
Lineage: Eukaryota; Viridiplantae; Streptophyta; Magnoliopsida; Malpighiales; Euphorbiaceae
Source: RNAcentral